This 429-nucleotide ribosomal RNA is filed under the name Chloroflexota bacterium. RNAcentral describes it as "Chloroflexi bacterium partial 16S ribosomal RNA". It matches the Rfam family "Bacterial small subunit ribosomal RNA", at positions 355 to 776 of the family's 1533-position model. The record is from RNAcentral. Lineage: Bacteria; Bacillati; Chloroflexota.
UGGGGAAUAUUGCACAAUGGGCGCAAGCCUGAUGCAGCCAUGCCGCGUGUGUGAAGAAGGCCUUCGGGUUGUAAAGCACUUUCAGCGGGGAGGAAGGCGUUAAGGUUAAUAACCUUGGCGAUUGACGUUACCCGCAGAAGAAGCACCGGCUAACUCCGUGCCAGCAGCCGCGGUAAUACGGAGGGUGCAAGCGUUAAUCGGAAUUACUGGGCGUAAAGCGCACGCAGGCGGUCUGUCAAGUCGGAUGUGAAAUCCCCGGGCUCUACCUGGGAACUGCAUUCGAAACUGGCAGGCUAGAGUCUUGUAGAGGGGGGUAGAAUUCCAGGUGUAGCGGUGAAAUGCGUAGAGAUCUGGAGGAAUACCGGUGGCGAAGGCGGCCCCCUGGACAAAGACUGACGCUCAGGUGCGAAAGCGUGGGGAGCAAACAGG